Molecule: transfer RNA, 73 nt
Filed under: Trichobilharzia regenti
Lineage: Eukaryota; Metazoa; Platyhelminthes; Trematoda; Strigeidida; Schistosomatidae
Rfam family: tRNA
About the family: Transfer RNA (tRNA) molecules are approximately 80 nucleotides in length.
Source: Rfam by way of RNAcentral
GCGUCGGUGGUGUAGCGGUUAGGACACUCGCCAUUCAUGCACAUGGUCCGGGGUUCGAAUCCCGGCCGACGCA